RNAcentral lists this ribosomal RNA (704 nucleotides) under uncultured bacterium. Its description in RNAcentral is "bacterial SSU rRNA". It matches the Rfam family "Bacterial small subunit ribosomal RNA", at positions 127 to 842 of the family's 1533-position model. The record is from RNAcentral.
UGCCCCCUACUCUGGGAUAAGCCUGGGAAACUGGGUCUAAUACCGGAUAUGACCUGCUGUCGCAUGAUGGUGGGUGGAAAGUUUUUUCGGUGGGGGAUGGGCCCGCGGCCUAUCAGCUUGUUGGUGGGGUGAUGGCCUACCAAGGCGACGACGGGUAGCCGGCCUGAGAGGGCGACCGGCCACACUGGGACUGAGAUACGGCCCAGACUCCUACGGGAGGCAGCAGUGGGGAAUAUUGCGCAAUGGGCGGAAGCCUGACGCAGCGACGCCGCGUGGGGGAUGACGGCCUUCGGGUUGUAAACCUCUUUCGGCCCCGACGAAGCGUGAGUGACGGUAGGGGUAGAAGAAGCACCGGCCAACUACGUGCCAGCAGCCGCGGUAACACGUAGGGUGCGAGCGUUGUCCGGAAUUAUUGGGCGUAAAGAGCUCGUAGGCGGUGUGUCGCGUCGGCCGUGAAAACCUGCAGCUUAACUGUGGGCUUGCGGUCGAUACGGGCAUCACUGGAGUUCGGCAGGGGAGACUGGAAUUCCUGGUGUAGCGGUGAAAUGCGCAGAUAUCAGGAGGAACACCGGUGGCGAAGGCGGGUCUCUGGGCCGAUACUGACGCUGAGGAGCGAAAGCGUGGGGAGCGAACAGGAUUAGAUACCCUGGUAGUCCACGCCGUANACGUUGGGCGCUAGGUGUGGGGGCCAUUCCACGGUCCCU